CCAAGUGAUAGAGGUGCCCAGUCCAAGUGAAGGGCAAGAGUCUACAUACCACUUUCCUCUAUUCAAGCUAUUUAUGCCUACUAGGUUUAGAAUACUGAUUAUGAAAGUGGACCCCCGAAGAGGGUCAUGGCUGAGAUUCAAGGAAGUCUCUAGCCUGCUAACAUCGAAUGCAAAUUGGUGUGUGAGGAUACACAUUAACAAAAAUUUUCUGGGAAGAGCAUAUAAAAUUUCCAUUAGAUUCUCAAGGAGGUAGGAAUAAAGGAUUUUAGUAACUAUUACUCUAAAAUGAAAGAAUUCCUUUAAAUUGAAUGGCAGAUCUUAGUCAUGACCUGAAAAGCUGAUAAAAAAAAACUUUUCAAAAGUUAAAACCUAGGGCUUUUUGGGGUAGAUUUUUUGAUUUAUAGAGGACUGGUAAGAUGAGGUAUUUAAAGAUGAGGGUUACAAAUUUUCCAUGUUGGCAUAUGGAAAGUAAAGAAUGGCAAAAUUUGUAGCACAUUCUAAUUAGUUCAAAUAUCUAUGUUACCAAAAUUGAAAUGAUAUCAAAUUGCACAGCAAUGUCCUGAUGGCCUUUCCUCUAACUUUCUGGGUUUGUAAGGGUAGGGUUGUGCCUAUCCUGCUCACCUUUGUCUCUCCAGUGUCUAGCAUAGCGUCCAGCACAGGCAGACUAUGAUGCCUGUUUUUUUUUUGUUGUUGUUUUUUUUUUUUUUUUUUUGGUAAAGACCAGUGAAUUACACUUUUUACACAUGACUAGGUUAAAACAAAAGUAGACAUUUGUGCAAACACCACUGUUCUCCCUUGAAGUGGUUGUAGGUCUCAGACAGUGCUAAUUUUUCUCUUUCUUAAUGUGUGUGGUUAGGAAGCUGGGUCCUGUGGCCAGAGUGAGCUGACCCACUAUGUGAGGAAACUUACUUAUCACAGCCUAAUAAGGAGUAGUCCUUGCAGCAGAAGUAAUUACUAAAUGUGCUUUGGUCAUUUGACAGAAAUCAGGGAGGCAGCAAGGAGUCAUGGAAAUGAGCCCAAACUGAGAGUCAAAACCCUGUGGUCUGCCGACACCCCCAUCCCACAUCCGUACCUAAAAGCAGGCUGUGCACUAGGGACCUAGUGACCUUACUAGAAAAAACUCAAAUUCUCUGAGCCACAAGUCCUCAUGGGCAAAAUGUAGAUACCACCACCUAACCCUGCCAAUUUCCUAUCAUUGUGACUAUCAAAUUAAACCACAGGCAGGAAGUUGCCUUGAAAACUUUUUAUAGUGUAUAUUACUGUUCACAUAGAUAAGCAAUUAACUUUACAUAUACCCGUUUUUAAAAGAUCAGUCCUGUGAUUAAAAGUCUGGCUGCCCUAAUUCACUUCGAUUAUACAUUAGGUUAAAGCCAUAUAAAAGAGGCACUACGUCUUCGGAGAGAUGAAUGGAUAUUACAAGCAGUAAUUUUGGCUUUGGAAUAUACACAUAAUGUCCACUUGACCUCAUCUAUUUGACACAAAAUGUAAACUAAAUUAUGAGCAUCAUUAGAUACCUUGGCCUUUUCAAAUCACACAGGGUCCUAGAUCUGCUGUGUGAUGCUGGAAAAGUAACUUCACUUCUGUGGGCCUCAGCUCCUUAAUUUUUAACAUACUUUGGAUUCUUAUAUCUUUGUCAGCUGUCAACUUCAGUGUUUUCAGGUUAAAUUCUAUCCAUAGUCAUCCCAAUAUACCUGCUUUAGAUGAUACAAACUUCAAAAGAUCCGGCUCUCCCUCGUAAAACGUGGAGGACAGACAUCAAGGGGGUUUUGUGAGUAAAGAAAGGCAACCGCUCGGCAAAAACGCACCCUGGCACAACAGGAGCGAAUAAAUACAGACGCUGAUUGAGCGUUUGCUCCAUCUUCACUUCUGUUAAAUGAAGACAUUGAUAUCUAAAAUGCUAUGAGUCUAACUUUGUAAAAUUAAAAUAGAUUUGUAGUUAUUUUUCAAAAUGAAAUCGAAAAGAUACAAGUUUUGAAGGCAGUCUCUUUUUCCACCCUGCCCCUCUAGUGUGUUUUACACACUUCUCUGGCCACUCCAACAGGGAAGCUGGUCCAGGGCCAUUAUACAGGUACGUCCCCAACCAUCCAAGGAAACUUUGCAAAGAAGCUCAAGUAUUAGGUUUCGAACACCCCUCCUUCCCCCUGCCUCUGCCCGCGGGAAUCCAUCCAGCACUUUGGGAGGCUGAGGUGACUGGAUCAUGAGGUCAGGAGAUUGAGACCAUCCUGGCUAGAAUGGUGAAACCCUGAAUCUACUAAAAAUACAAAAAAGAAAAAAAAAUUAGCCGGGCAUGAUGGCGGGCACCUGUAGUCCCAGCUACUCUGGAGGCUGAGGCAGGAGAAUGGCAUGAAUGCGGGAGGCGGAGUUUGCGGUGAGCCAAGAUCGCGCCACUGCAUUCCAGCCUGGAAUGCGAGCGAGACUGUCUC
This 2423-nucleotide long non-coding RNA is filed under the name Homo sapiens (human). RNAcentral's name for it is "non-protein coding lnc-MRPL39-2:1". Lineage: Eukaryota; Metazoa; Chordata; Mammalia; Primates; Hominidae. The record is from RNAcentral.